Molecule: long non-coding RNA, 3848 nt
Filed under: Solanum tuberosum (potato)
Lineage: Eukaryota; Viridiplantae; Streptophyta; Magnoliopsida; Solanales; Solanaceae
Description: long non-coding RNA (STUB_LNC002383)
Source: RNAcentral
GGAAUUAGGGCUCAGGUUUUGUCUUAUUCUCCGAGAAUUCAGAGGAAGGCGUUGGCCUAUCUUCUACUUCAAAUCUAGGGUUCGCCAAUCUGAUUUUGAUUGGUCCGAUAAUCAGGUACACUUUCUGUUAUUCCCUCUUUAAUUAGGUUUUGGCUUACCUCUAGCAAUCUAGAAUGAUGAAAUUAUCAUAUGCAUCUCUGUAUAAACCUAUUAUACUUAUGGAAAUUGCUCUUAUUUUACAGAAUAUAGUAUUGGCCAAAUCGAAUAGAUUGCGGAUUUUAAUUACUCUCUAGCCAACUAUUGCUUUCUCAUCUUCCAAUAAUCUUAGUAAAUUUCUCAAGGAACAGAGAAAUAUAGUUGUAAAUCCAAUAUUAUAGUAAGCUUAUAAGUUAUUAACAAUACGAUAGAGUAAAAAAAUAAAAUAAAUACUACUAUUCUCUUGGUUCCAGUUUCUGUGGCUAUAAAUUGUUUCGUUAAUCAUAAAAUGAGAAGUUAAAGGUGAAGUGCUAUUUCUUUUAUAGACCAAAAAGGAAAGAGUGUUACAUCAUCGAACGCUAUAGUCUAUUCAAACAUUACAUCCACAGAACAGUUGGUAAAAUACAAUACAGUACAAAAUGAUACAUUAUAGAAAUAAGAAGCCAAAUAUAGUGUCAAAUCUUGUAGAAAACAGAAGAACUAACUAUUAGUUCAUCUAUUGUUGGUGGGAGUGUCAUGUGGUGGAGUGAGUCCAUGGAGAGGUGAGGCAGGUAGGGACUUAGCCAUGAUUUGUGUACUUCGGUUUGAUAGAAUUGACGUGGAUGUCUUUCUUGCAUGCACAAAUUUUUCUUUUGUCUUGAUUAUGAGGAAGAACACCAGACGAUACAAAAUUAGUAUACCGACCAGAAUGACCAUGUCUACCCACUUUGAGUGUCCCAUUUCUGCUUGCCAUCUUUCUCUCAAGAUGACUUCUCCACUCAUUAUAUGAUUGUUUGCAAACAUAUCAUCUCUAAACUUUAGUCCUUCAAAUUCAUUCUUGAACAUACCUUGGUAAGCAUACUUGUGGAAGGACAUGUAGUAUAGUGGGUAUUUCCAAAGUAUUUUAGGCAACUCACUCGGUAAUUGAAAAUAACCACCACUUAGUAUUUGUAGUCCUUGUAUUCCUGCCCCCGCUACAAUGCCCAUUAGGAAGUUCGGUACAAUAGCUGCAACGUUCAUCAUUAGGCUCUCCACUAUCAUCAUACUGAUGAAGAGGACCAAAGCAAAGUAGAUGAAGUGCUCAAAUCCAUUUUGAAAUCCAGCAAGGAAAUAGGCAAUGGCACCUGGAACCAAUGAUAUUAGUAGCACGUACGGUAUAGAAGAAAGUGUGUUGCCUAUGACAAAAGCAAAACAUCCAUAGUGCCCGUUCACAUUUUCUCGUUGAAAUACCUGCAGUAUUUUUGUCCAAGCAGUUAAUUAAGUACUCACGAUCGUACAAAAUAAAUCAUAUAAUUUGUUAAUUGUUUUAAUUUAAAGAGAAAAUGAUACUACCUUCAUUUCCUCCACAAAUGAAGGGAAUCCACCGACCGUCAUAAAUGUCAUAAAUGAAACUACGAAAGCAACCAUUAGACCUCUUUCCUGCAAUAUCCAAGACCGUGUUAUGAUCCAUAAAUUGUGUGCACGUCAAGAAGAACUGAAAAGUACUUAGAAAUUAAGUUUUAAAAUUUAAUUGGUGUUUCCUUGUCUGUGUUCUGUCUAUCUAUACCUCAAUUGACCGAUAGUUUGAGCCAACAUUAUAGUAGAUGGAGCCAAGACUUAAAGCAAUGGCGACAUAAACAACGAAUCUCAUCCAAUAGUAGCCAGGAUCACGAAACAUGUUCACAGUUGACCUCCUUGUAAGAACAAGGCAUUGCGUCUUGAAGUUAGCAUGGCUUCUUUUUUUCAACAUUUCACCACCCUGAAAAUAUUUAAUGGAUGCAAUUAGAGAGACUCCGUUCUCAUCUCCUUUCCAUUUUGGGGGUUAACUCUUUCUUAAUUACCUGAUGACAUAUUUCUGCAACAUGGCUCUGAACUUCAUGAUAUCCCUCUGAUGAUUUAUAUGAAUUUAUGAGAAGGUCUAUAACUUCUUCUGUUGGUCGUCUUCCUCCAGCUGAGCCUUGUUCAAUAUCCUUUAAAUAGGAACCAAGAUAUAAUUUAAUAAAAGGGUAACAUUAAUUGGUUUCUCUUAGAAAGAGGAAACAUUAAUAUUUACCUCAUCAAAGUCCUUGUUUAUUGUUUUAAGAAAAUGAUCUGAUGGAUUCUGAAGAUAUGGGCAAGGGAAACCAUUCCUCGUGAAAAACUAUCAUAAUAAAAAACAUAGAAACUAAUCAAAUCAUUACAUAUAUCACUUGUAUUAUAUGCCCAUUAUAUUACUUUGCAAGUUAAUAGUUGAAUAAUGAAUAUAUAUAUAUACCUCAAUUGCUGCACUAGCAGGUCCAAAAUAUACGGUUCUUCCUGAAGACAAAAGGCAUAAACUGUGGAAAAGGUUGAAAACUUCAGCACUUGGCUGAUGAAUGGAUGCAAUAAUGGUUCUUCCCUCUCUUUGACGUGAAAUUCCGCUCAUCACGUAAUAAGAUGCAGCACUGUCGAGGCCGCUGGUUGGUUCAUCAAGGAAAAGAAGUUUUGGCCGCGUUAGAAUCUCCAUGCAAACACUAAGUCUUCUCUUUUCUCCUCCACUAAUUCCUUUAUUUUCAAAUCCUCCAAUUCUUGUGUUCAUUGCAUCUUGCAACCCCAUCUCCUUAAUAGUCUGCUCUGCUAUUUGUUUUUUCUCUGAUUUUGUCAUGGAAACUGGGAGUUGGAGUUGUGCAGAGUAGUAAACUGCUUCUUGAACUGUUAGUGUUGCUAACAGAGUUUCAUCUUGAGUCACAUAUGCCUGAUUUUAUAGGAUAAAGAACAUUACCAUGCAUGCUAAUGAAAAAAAUAUAGUAAUGUUAUUGUGAAAAAAGGAAAACAAAAUGAGUAGUGCAUGCGGCAUUCAGCUGAAGAUUUUAGUUUCUUACAGAUGUUCCAUACGAAAGUUUCUGUUUGUGACCAUUGAUCAGAAUUUCCCCGCUCUGCCUCGUGCUGAAAUCCAGUCGCCCUGGGAGGUGCCCAUCAGGUCAGUCAUAUUUCGUAAAAACAACUAGCAUUAUAGCUGUUAUUUUUGUCCCCAUUGAAGAUAUUAUAUGCAUCAUUUUCUAAGAGAUAUAGUAACAGUAGUAAUAUUUACCAGCUAAGGAAUCGAGAAGUGUAGAUUUGCCACAGCCAGAAGGACCCAUAACGGCCAAGAGCUCACUAGGUCGAGCAUAGCCAGUGAGACCUUUAAGUAUGGAUUUGCUUCCACCUUUUUUAGUGCUAACAGUAACCCAUAAGUCAUUCCAAGUCAAGAAAACGCCUCCACUUUUUGAUACCAUUUGUCCUUUCUCAGCAUUAUUCAACUCUACUUCCUGUAACUCCAUAUCCAAAUUUACAGAAGCCAUGCAAUACCGUGAAAAUUUGUAGGAAAUACAAAGACUAAAAGGUGGUUUAUUUCUUUUUCAUGCAAAAGGUAUGGGGUAUUUAAGGAGGUUGUAGUCAUCUUUGUCAGCUAGGGCUUUAAUGAGAUAAUAUGUCAAAAAAUAUCUUACUAUUACAAACAGUUCAAGGGAACCAACUCAUUUAUGUUUCUCUUUGGAGUCUGCAUUUUCAUCUAUUAAUGGCUCGUUCUCAUCCUAACUCUCAUUUUUCUUUUUUUUAUUCCCUCUUGUCAACUCUUGCUUCUUUGAUUUGAAUAUUUUUUUCUUUCAUGAAGUUUGGGACCAUGGUAGAGAUGGUCAGAUAUCUCUAGUAAUUCGUAACCAGUAUGGAAGUCGCUUUCUUUUAAUACUAUGUAUAAU